GAUGAACGCUGGCGGUAUGCCUUACACAUGCAAGUCGAACGGAAAUUAGCUUCGGUUAAUUUUAGUGGCGGACGGGUGAGUAACACGUGAGAAUUCGCCUUUAGGAGGGGGACAACGGAUGGAAACAUUCGCUAAAACCCCAUAUGCCCCUGGGUGAAACAGAGGAGAUAAGUAAUACUGACUCACCUCUGCCUGAAGAGAAGCUCGCGGCUGAUUAGCUAGUUGGUAGGGUAAAGGCCUACCAAGGCGACGAUCAGUAGCUGGUCUGAGAGGACGAUCAGCCACACUGGAACUGAGACACGGUCCAGACUCCUACGGGAGGCAGCAGUGAGGAAUUUUCUGCAAUGGGCGAAAGCCUGACAGAGCAAUACCGCGUGAGGGAUGAAGACUUACUGAGUUGUAAACCUCGGUACCUUAAGGAAGAAGAUCUGACGGUAC
Molecule: ribosomal RNA, 438 nt
Filed under: uncultured phototrophic eukaryote
Lineage: Eukaryota
Description: bacterial SSU rRNA
Rfam family: Bacterial small subunit ribosomal RNA
Source: RNAcentral